Molecule: ribosomal RNA, 574 nt
Filed under: Agelas nakamurai
Lineage: Eukaryota; Metazoa; Porifera; Demospongiae; Agelasida; Agelasidae
Description: eukaryotic LSU rRNA
Rfam family: Eukaryotic large subunit ribosomal RNA
Source: RNAcentral
CCAAGGAGUGCAACAUGCAUGCGAGUCUUGGGGUGGAAAACCCAUCGGCGCAAUGAAAGUGAAGGUAGAUGUUGGUCUACUGAGGCAAGAGCCUUUCAGGAGGCACAUUGUCGACCGAUCCCAGGCUACGCUGUAGUGGGAUUUGAGUGAGAGCGUGCCUGUUGCGACCCGAAAGAUGGUGAACUAUGCCUGAAUAGGGCGAAGCCAGAGGAAACUCUGGUGGARGCUCGUAGCGAUUCUGACGUGCAAAUCGAUCGUCAAAUUUGGGUAUAGGGGCGAAAGACUAAUCGAACCAUCUAGUAGCUGGUUCCCUCCGAAGUUUCCCUCAGGAUAGCUGGAGCCCGGUGCAGUUUUAUCAGGUAAAGCGAAUGAUUAGAGGUCUUGGGGUUGAAACAACCUCAACCUAUUCUCAAACUUUAAAUGGGUAAGAAGCUCGGCUUGCUUAACUGAAGUCGGGCACUGAAUGCCGGGGCUCCUAGUGGGCCAUUUUUGGUAAGCAGAACUGGCGAUGCGGGAUGCACCGAACGCUGGGUUAAGGUGCCCGAGUCGACGCUCAUCAGAUACCAUGAAAGGU